CUGCAAAGCAGCCUCCCCGCGCGGGGAGGCUCUUAAGAAAUGCAACUUCUAUCCGCUGCCCUACUGCCUACAGAUACGGCUUAUCCGUGAUCCGCGGAGCUACGCGUAGCUCCUAAAUUCGCGGCGCGGUAUAGGCCUUAUUUAUAGCAAAGCCAGACUUUUAUUCCGACUUUUCCAAAGGAGGUGUUGGCACUCCCUUUUGCAAAAGAAAGUUUAGAAAGAUUUCCUCCCAAUUAAUUAGAAAGGGGCUUACUUGUCGCUCCAAUCCCGACCGACAGGCGCUCAUCCUAUGGCUGAAACAACAUCACGGUGUUCAAACUGCCUUGGCACUGCCUUACUAAUCUAUUGAUAGAUCAAGAUUCUACUAUGGUUAGUAGCCUUCCUAUAUUUCUUUACUAUAAAGCAAUGUGGUGCCAGCCCUCAGAGAUGUCAUCGCUGGACCAGCUAUUUCAUCUUUCAUUGCUGGUCAGCU
This 472-nucleotide long non-coding RNA is filed under the name Amborella trichopoda. RNAcentral describes it as "long non-coding RNA (ATRI_LNC001568)". The record is from RNAcentral. Lineage: Eukaryota; Viridiplantae; Streptophyta; Magnoliopsida; Amborellales; Amborellaceae.